UCCCUGGUGGCUCAGACGGUAAAGCGUCUGCCUGCAAUGCGGGAGACCGGGGUUCGAUUCCUGGGUUGGGAA
This 72-nucleotide transfer RNA is filed under the name Ovis aries (sheep). It matches the Rfam family "tRNA". From Rfam's summary of the family: Transfer RNA (tRNA) molecules are approximately 80 nucleotides in length. Their secondary structure includes four short double-helical elements and three loops (D, anti-codon, and T loops). Further hydrogen bonds mediate the characteristic L-shaped molecular structure. tRNAs have two regions of fundamental functional importance: the anti-codon, which is responsible for specific mRNA codon recognition, and the 3' end, to which the tRNAs corresponding amino acid is attached (by aminoacyl-tRNA synthetases). tRNAs cope with the degeneracy of the genetic code in two manners: having more than one tRNA (with a specific anti-codon) for a particular amino acid; and 'wobble' base-pairing, i.e. permitting non-standard base-pairing at the 3rd anti-codon position. Lineage: Eukaryota; Metazoa; Chordata; Mammalia; Artiodactyla; Bovidae. The record is from Rfam by way of RNAcentral.